GAGUUUGAUCAUGGCUCAGGAUAAACGCUGGCGGCGUGCCUAAUGCAUGCAAGUCGCACGGGAGCUUCGGCUCCAGUGGCGGACGGGUGAGUAACACGUAGGAACCUGCCCGAGAGUGGGGGACAACUCCGCGAAAGCGGGGCUAAUACCGCAUACGGUUUACGGACCAAAGCUUCGGCGCUCUCGGAGGGGCCUGCGGCGGAUUAGCUAGUUGGUGGGGUAACGGCCUACCAAGGCGACGAUCCGUAACUGGUCUGAGAGGAUGACCAGUCACACUGGGACUGAGACACGGCCCAGACUCCUACGGGAGGCAGCAGCAAGGAAUUUUCCGCAAUGGGCGAAAAGCCUGACGGAGC
RNAcentral lists this ribosomal RNA (356 nucleotides) under uncultured Thermomicrobium sp. RNAcentral describes it as "bacterial SSU rRNA". It matches the Rfam family "Bacterial small subunit ribosomal RNA", at positions 9 to 392 of the family's 1533-position model. The record is from RNAcentral. Lineage: Bacteria; Pseudomonadati; Thermomicrobiota; Thermomicrobia; Thermomicrobiales; Thermomicrobiaceae.